AUUGAACGCUGGCGGCAGGCCUAACACAUGCAAGUCGAGCGGAUGAGUGGAGCUUGCUCCAUGAUUCAGCGGCGGACGGGUGAGUAAUGCCUAGGAAUCUGCCUGGUAGUGGGGGACAACGUUUCGAAAGGAACGCUAAUACCGCAUACGUCCUACGGGAGAAAGCAGGGGACCUUCGGGCCUUGCGCUAUCAGAUGAGCCUAGGUCGGAUUAGCUAGUAGGUGAGGUAAUGGCUCACCUAGGCGACGAUCCGUAACUGGUCUGAGAGGAUGAUCAGUCACACUGGAACUGAGACACGGUCCAGACUCCUACGGGAGGCAGCAGUGGGGAAUAUUGGACAAUGGGCGAAAGCCUGAUCCAGCCAUGCCGCGUGUGUGAAGAAGGUCUUCGGAUUGUAAAGCACUUUAAGUUGGGAGGAAGGGCAGUAAGUUAAUACCUUGCUGUUUGACGUUACCAACAGAUAAGCACCGGCUAACUU
RNAcentral lists this ribosomal RNA (478 nucleotides) under uncultured bacterium. RNAcentral's name for it is "bacterial SSU rRNA". It matches the Rfam family "Bacterial small subunit ribosomal RNA", at positions 30 to 503 of the family's 1533-position model. The record is from RNAcentral.